UGAGUCCAUUUCUGUAUUUGGCAAAGUGA
This 29-nucleotide non-coding RNA is filed under the name Rattus norvegicus (Norway rat). The record is from RNAcentral. Lineage: Eukaryota; Metazoa; Chordata; Mammalia; Rodentia; Muridae.